This 196-nucleotide ribosomal RNA is filed under the name Salmonella enterica subsp. enterica serovar Muenchen. RNAcentral describes it as "partial 16S ribosomal RNA". It matches the Rfam family "Bacterial small subunit ribosomal RNA", at positions 1 to 204 of the family's 1533-position model. Lineage: Bacteria; Pseudomonadati; Pseudomonadota; Gammaproteobacteria; Enterobacterales; Enterobacteriaceae. RNAcentral also lists the same sequence under 18 other names. The record is from RNAcentral.
AAAUUGAAGAGUUUGAUCAUGGCUCAGAUUGAACGCUGGCGGCAGGCCUAACACAUGCAAGUCGAACGGUAACAGGAAGCAGCUUGCUGCUUCGCUGACGAGUGGCGGACGGGUGAGUAAUGUCUGGGAAACUGCCUGAUGGAGGGGGAUAACUACUGGAAACGGUGGCUAAUACCGCAUAACGUCGCAAGACCAA